This 389-nucleotide ribosomal RNA is filed under the name uncultured bacterium. Its description in RNAcentral is "bacterial SSU rRNA". It matches the Rfam family "Bacterial small subunit ribosomal RNA", at positions 29 to 408 of the family's 1533-position model. The record is from RNAcentral.
AACGAACGCUGGCGGCGCGCCUAAUACAUGCAAGUCGAGCGAGAAGACGUAGCAAUACGUUUGUAAAGCGGCGAACGGGUGAGGAAUACAUGGGUAACCUACCCUCGAGUGGGGAAUAACUAGCCGAAAGGUUAGCUAAUACCGCGUACGCUCCUUGGACUUCGGUUCAGGGAGGAAAGCGAUACCGUGGGUAUCGCGCUCUUGGUUGGGCUCAUGUCCUAUCAGCUUGUUGGUGAGGUAACGGCUCACCAAGGCUUCGACGGGUAGCUGGUCUGAGAGGACGAUCAGCCACACUGGCACUGCGACACGGGCCAGACUCCUACGGGAGGCAGCAGUAAGGAAUAUUGCGCAAUGGGCGAAAGCCUGACGCAGCGACGCCGCGUGGGGGA